Molecule: long non-coding RNA, 5376 nt
Organism: Xiphophorus hellerii (green swordtail)
Lineage: Eukaryota; Metazoa; Chordata; Actinopteri; Cyprinodontiformes; Poeciliidae
Exons: 2
Source: RefSeq, a predicted model, not a curated record
CUCAGCACUGAUGGAGGGGUUGGCAGGGAGAUCAAACGACGUGGAGAAGUAGAGGAUGGAAUCGGCACAUUUGGGAGAGAAGAAGAAGAGGCAUCACUCAGGCACAGAAAAGGGAGAAAGAAAAAAAAAAGACUUUUCAUGUUGCAAUCAUUCGAGUGUGCUAUUAUGGUGAGAGGCUUUUGUGCUUUUAAAGAUUUAUUUCUGUUCCUAGUAUAGAAUAAAUUGUACAACAAACACUAGUAUAGGUUUGAAUUUAUCGUGGGUUUUCUCUAAUCCACAGAUGAUUAAAAUUUUACUUAGGGGCUCAUAUGUAUACAUACAUCAUCAGUAAUAUUUGGCUAGGUGUUGAUGAUUGAUUCUGGCCAAAAAUUGCCCUGGUUCCAUGACACAGAUCCAGAUUUUAAGCACAGCUUUAGUUUUUCAACAGAGUGAAGGUCAGAGCUUCACUAAACCAAUUCCAGAAGCUUAGUAAUUCCUGAUUUGUCCCUUCAGAAAUGAGUUUUAAUGUUCUGGGAUCAUCAUCCUGUUCGGUCACCCAUUCGUGUCCAGGUUUUCAACCAGCUGGACCAAACCGUCCCUCCCUCCGACCCUUCUAGAUUGUUUAAUAAGUGCAGAAACCUCCCAGGCUCCAAACAUCUAUCAUGAGCUGGAAGUUGAUGGAGCACAAUCCACAUCAUUAUCCACAGUGAAGCACGUUUUAACACAACUAUGGGGUGACAGGCUGCAGACCAAGAAAGAAGCCGCUUUUCCUAAACCAACCUUGAAUAUCAACUAAAAUUUGCAACUGUCUACAUAGACAAACCAAAUGAGAGCAACUCUUAUUAGUCAGAUGAAAAAAAAAAAGUAGAAAAGAUGAGAACGUUUGAAGGAGUCAUGAUGAGACAUUAAAAUCGGUGUGUGACUUCAUUGGUAGAGCAGGUGCACCAUGGGUAGAGACUGUAGUCCUUAAUAUUGUUAACCUGAUUUGAUUCCCAAUUACAUGUUUCCCUUUCUCAUCCAUUUUCUUCCCAUCAAAUUACUGUUCAUCCAACUCCAAAGUAUGGUGAUGGCAGAAUCAUGUGGAAAUGUUUUGCUAUCUGUGACAGUGGUGGAUUAAAUAUUUUAGAGGUAAAAAAAUAUCCAUCUCAUCUUAUAUCCUAUUUAUAUUUGAUCUGAAAUCAGAAGAGAAACAUAGUUGGUUGUUCCAGCAGGAUAAUGAUCCCAAACUUGCAUCAAAACUCUUUGAAAAGGAUAAAGCGAGCUACUGCUGACCAAAACCGGAGCUUUCUAAAAAGGCCCUGAGAUCAAAAUGUUAUCAGUUUUCCUUAACAGCUAAAUAAGAAUCAGAGGCAGCUUACAAAAGCAAAUCUCUGAAUAACCUGCACCCUCCUUAACCGGCUGACAUUAUUUUGACAAAUGGUGGUCCUUAUUUUUGUUACAAUCUUGCUACUAAUUGAGCAGCUUGGGAUAAACGCGAGGUAUCGAUGCGUUUUAACCCCACAGCGAAAUGACUUUAUAUUUCACGCGUCCACAUGCCUCAGAGGCCAGUCAAUUAUACAAUGCUGCCUUUAAUGAGGAGACAUUGUCAUAAGGGACAAAGAACAAACAGAGGCUCAGUCUUUGCUUUGAAAAGCUUAGAUUUAAAUACACACAAGUGAAAAUGUUCUCAUUAAAGACAACAUUCAAUAAGCGUGAUGCACUCUGUACACCGCUGCCUGGGGUAACCUAAAGAGAAGCUGGAAGGCCCGGUUCAGUAAUAAGACCUUAACAUGACUAUUUUACCUGCACUAAUGGACUCUAACCCAAUGAUGCAGAGAUUUCUUAUUAUAUAUGUGAUUUACAAGGCUUUUUCAUGCUCCCACGUUUUCGAUCCGAGGACUGCAGGGGACUUUUUAACACAAUUACACUGUAAUGGUGGGGUAAGCACAAAUGCAGGCUUCAUCCGACAUGGUCUCACGAAAUGGACCAAAGGGAAAUCUGCAUCUGUGAUGAAGGUGAAAUAUUACAGCUGAAUAUAGGCUACUCUUUGUAAAAUUGCUUUUGCUCGAUUUAGCUUUAUUUCAGUAAAACCAAGUGUUUUGAUAUCAGCCAGAGCAGAGCUGAGUUCUAAAAAUUUUACUUUAAAUUUACGGGAAAGAGACACAACCAGCCCGACAUGUAACACUUGAGCCCUUGAGCGUGACUCCAGCACCACGCUGACGGACAAAAAUAGGUGAGAAAGAUAAAUCUUUGUGACUGAUAGGAGAAAUGCACCCGUUUCUCCCCAGAGUGAGUCGUGAGCGUCCAUCUGCACUGCCAGCUGUUCAUCUUUCAAGUCCAGAAAGCUUUUCACCACCUGCAGAAAAGAAAUAACACAUUUUGACAGUCUUCUAUUGCUGCCUUGCUGCGUGCAGAACAGACCAAAGCACUAGCGGAGCUUGAAGUAGAGAAAAUAACAAUCGGCUUCAAAGGAAAUCUCCUGCGUCUGCAGAGAACUCGCACCGUGAUCUACAUACAGAUGUAUUUCAUCGGCGUUAAAAAUGGUUGUUUUGUUUUUUUCAUCUGAGUCGUACCUGCGUGUGUCCAACACUGGCCGCGGCCGUCACCGCUUGCUGGGCUGCCUGUGUUUUCCCAGUCGUCGUCUCGUUGCCAUGUUGCUGCUGCGGAUCGGCGGGAAUAUCUGCGCCCCAAUCCUGGCCCAGCAAGAUGCCGGUGAUUUCCGCAUGGCCUUUCAGCCCGGCAUGGACCAGCGCACACUGGCCACUCUUAUCAGCGUGCCCCACCUGGCAACAGAGGGGAACACAGAGGGACCCUCAACCCUCAGCCUGGCCGAAGCUGUAAUACACUGGCCUAGAUCAGUCCUGUUUAUUUCAUCUCUCUCCCAGAAUAGAUCUUCAAACUGUGGUGACUGUAAAACCAGAGCAGUCCAGAUAUCUUAAGAGGCAGAGUUCUGUCACUGUAGUGCAGAAUAUUACUGUAAGAACCUUUUCAAAUGCGGAUACAAGCAUAAAAAUCUGUAUGCCCACCCCUUACAUCGUAUGUUUCUUCUUAUUUCCCAUUGGCCACAUGAAUUUCAGUAUCAUAGCCAUGUUUUAAAUCGGACAAAGUUUUUGACACCUUUUACACCAAUUAUUGCCAUAAAACGUUACCCAUUAUUAUGGAUGAACUUUAUCAAACCUGAAACUGAGGACUUUGCUCUUUGUAUGUCUCACCUCAGUCGUCAACUGGGAGGAGAUGAAGAUGUGUGACAGACUGAGAGACAGUUGUCUUUAUGGUUAGCUUUAGCCGUUUAGCAUUAGCAGAGCUAAGAUUCUUGUUUAGCGGAUUAAUGGAACUUUUUUCGGUUAGCUGUGCUCACCAGAGGAAAUAACUACUGCCGAUUUUAGUACGAACAUAUAUUCUCCAUCACGCCAUGGCGGCCAUUUUGAAAAAUGUCCACAAGAAAAAGGAACUCGCAAGAUCAAGAAUAUGUAUCUGAUUUCUAUGGCUCAAAGUAUGUACGUAGCUUUAAUUUAAUUCCGAACACAUUCAUCUAAUUGAUGAGUUUGCUAUGACAACCAGGUUGGCCAUCUUGAAAAAUAUAAACAUUCUCAGUAAACAUGAUUUUUACUGGUCCAAUCAUGUAUCACUUGACACCAAAAGUAUUCUUCUGUGAUAAAAAUGGGCAAAUUUAGUGGAAAAAAAAAUCUUCCAUGACAACCAUCUUGAAGAAACUUUAAUUUUUCAGUAGCUAACUUUUUUUUUUUCUUUUUCAAAACAGCAAGCCACUGAAGCAUCUCUGCCAAGUGAGGUUCUUGUAUCCACAUAGCAGGCUGACGAUGUCGGCGUGUCCCGCCGCAGCCGCCAGACAAAGCGGCGUCAUGCCACUGCCAGUGGUCCCGUCUACAGGCGCACCCAUUUCAAGCAACAAAGCCACCAUCUCCACAUGACCCAGGUGGGCAUGAACAGCCAGGAUGGGGGCGUGUCCUAUCACCUCCGUACACCAGGUCACACUGGCCCCACCGAGCAUCAGCAAACGGCUUACCUGCAACAUCAUUUUCACAAGCAACAAAAUAUAUAUUGUUGUCUAAAUUAUCUCCGUGCAGAAAGAUGUUUUGUUAAAGCUCACUGCUGUGUGUCACCUUGAUGUUAGGGGUGUACAGGUUCCUCAGGGAGCCCAGUGCAGCUGACAGACUAUCUGUGCUGCAGUUUACCCACAUGGCCUGAAGAACGCUGGAGGACACGCCAGUCUUCUUACUCAGACCCUGUGUGAGGAACACAAACACAGAGUCAGAUAACACCUGCUCCGCUCUGCACGGCACAAUCUGAAUCGUGUCUCAGGAGUAAAUCAACAUGAACAGCGUGAAGCACCCACACGGGCGGAACAAUAUCAGCUGUGGGUGUUUACGUAUGUGACUAGUGGUUGAUGUUAAGGGAUUUUUUUUUUUUAAAGUGAGGUUGUAUGGAGGUAUUAUGAGUAGUCAGUGUCUUCUAAACAGUAGAGGUGAACCGAGUAUGAAGAAUAAAGGGGAAUCAUCAUAGUCAACCAAAAUAAUGGCUUAAAAACAUCAGUCUGUGUGUAAUUAAAUAAUAUGUUUCACUGAAUGACUUGAGUCUGAAGUGAAUUAACCUUUUAAUAUUAUUAUUUAUUGAAAAUGGACUGCAUGUCACUAAAUAUUACACAUCUCAACUUUUGCAUGAGGCAAUUAUUAAAAUGUUCCCACCUAGUUAAUACCUGAUAGUAGCUACGUAAUAAUAAUUUAAACAAAUUAAAAAUGCACUCAAACUGCUAGUAAUGUUUAAGUUUGGGUUGCUUAAGGGGCAUUAUAUGUACUAUAAAUAAACACCGACUACUUAUUAUAAGCCCAUACAACCUUACCCACCUCCCCCCACCAAAAAAAAAAAACCUGACUUUUACAGACCAGAGGAAGAUGUUCAUAUGUUCAGUAACGGGCCUAAAGUUAAACACAGACUCCUCGGAGGUGUUGUUACUUUGAAAAUGUGGGCUUUGAGGAUGUGGUGUCCCAGCUCCAUGGUCUGCUGACGGUUCAGCUUUCCCUCCUGUCUGGAGAACAUGAAAGCCAGCAGAGCGUGGCCACUCCUGUAGACACACGCGUGCAAGAGUUUGAUCGUUUGAGCGCUCAGACACCAAAACUGAUGUAUCAUGAAUAGAAAUUUAGGCUCACCUCGGGUCACAAAGAAAAUCUGUGCUUUCUCCAUCCGCUCUCCAAACCAGCCACUCUCUGAAGGAGGGAUGGCACAGCAUCCGAGUGCCAUCCCUGCGUCUGACCUUCAAAUCGCAAUAAUUGAGAAAAAAUGAGUCAAAUUACACGUUGGGUUGUUUGAGGGGCAUGUUUGCAACUACAUGGACCCUGACUCACAAUUACAUUGAUCUACGUCAGUCUAGCAAAGGUUUCUAUGAUCAAAUCCUCACAGUAA